This 455-nucleotide ribosomal RNA is filed under the name uncultured bacterium. RNAcentral describes it as "bacterial SSU rRNA". It matches the Rfam family "Bacterial small subunit ribosomal RNA", at positions 340 to 786 of the family's 1533-position model. The record is from RNAcentral.
UACGGAAGGCAGCAGUGGGGAAUAUUGCACAAUGGGCGAAAGCCUGAUGCAGCUAUGCCGCGUGUAUGGAGAAGGCCUUAGGGUUGUAAAGUACUUUCAUCGGGGAGGAAAAACAAAACUAAUAAUUUUAUUUCUUGACGUUACCCGAAAAAGAAGCACCGGCUAACUCCGUGCCAGCAGCCGCGGUAAUACGGAGGGUGCUAGCGUUAAUCAGAAUUACUGGGCGUAAAGAGCACGUAGGUGGUUUUUUUAAGUCAGAUGUGAAAUCCCUGGGCUUAACCUAGGAACUGCAUUUUGAAACUGAAAUACUAGAGUAUCGUAGAGGGAGGUAGAAUUCUAGGUGUAGCGGUGAAAUGCGUAGAUAUCUGGAGGAAUACCUGUGGCGAAAGCGGCCUCCUAAACGAAUACUGACACUGAGGUGCGAAAGCGUGGGGAGCAAACAGGGAUUAGAUACC